Molecule: long non-coding RNA, 512 nt
Organism: Sceloporus undulatus (fence lizard)
Lineage: Eukaryota; Metazoa; Chordata; Lepidosauria; Squamata; Phrynosomatidae
Exons: 3
Source: RefSeq, a predicted model, not a curated record
UCCUAAAUGGGCUUCUUCUUGGAAGGGAGAGACCUGUUGAAAUUGACUUUAUAACUACUGCUCCAUUGCCCUGUUUUACUAAAGAUUUCAAAGGAUGCAAUACUGCUCUGGACCCAUUUAUAACAAAGGUCAAUGAAGUAGUGAGUGACCCUGUCUAGGUCUCCAACAUCCAUGGCCCAGGAGAUCCGGAACGAGUCGCACGUGAUGUUGUUGAUCUCAAUGCUGUGAGGGGUGGACAGCAACUCCAUGAUCCGACCGGUUCGGCUCCUGUGGUUGGAGCAGAUAAAGAGAAAGGGACAAGGGAAAAGUCUCCCUGAAAUCCCAGGCGGAAAAGUGCUAGCAAAUGUACUAAUGGUAAUAAAAAUAAUUACUACAUGCUAACAGUCUCCUUGCUGUUUCGUCAUUUUCAAUGGUGAUUCACACUGAGUUGGUGGGAACCUAGAAUGGAGCCUUGACUUCUGCAGAGACUUCUAGGGCUUGGAUGGAGGAGAACCUCAGGCUGAAUUCAUUAU